RNAcentral lists this ribosomal RNA (274 nucleotides) under uncultured bacterium. Its description in RNAcentral is "partial 16S ribosomal RNA". It matches the Rfam family "Bacterial small subunit ribosomal RNA", at positions 523 to 796 of the family's 1533-position model. The record is from RNAcentral.
AUACGGAGGGUGCAAGCGUUGUUCGGAAUCACUGGGCGUAAAGGGCGCGCAGGCGGUUUGGUAAGUCAGAUGUGAAAGCCCACGGCUCAACCGUGGAAGUGCAUUUGAAACUGCCAGACUUGAGUACCAGAGGGGAAAGUGGAAUUCCCGGUGUAGAGGUGAAAUUCGUAGAUAUCGGGAGGAAUACCGGUGGCGAAGGCGACUUUCUGGCUGGAUACUGACGCUGAGGCGCGAAAGCGUGGGGAGCAAACAGAAUUAGAUACCCUAGUAGUCC